RNAcentral lists this ribosomal RNA (465 nucleotides) under uncultured Klebsiella sp. RNAcentral's name for it is "bacterial SSU rRNA". It matches the Rfam family "Bacterial small subunit ribosomal RNA", at positions 338 to 795 of the family's 1533-position model. The record is from RNAcentral. Lineage: Bacteria; Pseudomonadati; Pseudomonadota; Gammaproteobacteria; Enterobacterales; Enterobacteriaceae.
CCUACGGGAGGCAGCAGUGGGGAAUAUUGCACAAUGGGCGCAAGCCUGAUGCAGCCAUGCCGCGUGUGUGAAGAAGGCCUUCGGGUUGUAAAGCACUUUCAGCGGGGAGGAAGGCGGUGAGGUUAAUAACCUCAUCGAUUGACGUUACCCGCAGAAGAAGCACCGGCUAACUCCGUGCCAGCAGCCGCGGUAAUACGGAGGGUGCAAGCGUUAAUCGGAAUUACUGGGCGUAAAGCGCACGCAGGCGGUCUGUCAAGUCGGAUGUGAAAUCCCCGGGCUCAACCUGGGAACUGCAUUCGGAACUGGCAGGCUAGAGUCUUGUAGAGGGGGGUAGAAUUCCAGGUGUAGCGGUGAAAUGCGUAGAGAUCUGGAGGAAUACCGGUGGCGAAGGCGGCCCCCUGGACAAAGACUGACGCUCAGGUGCGAAAGCGUGGGGAGCAAACAGGAUUAGAUACCCUAGUAGUC